This 497-nucleotide ribosomal RNA is filed under the name uncultured bacterium. Its description in RNAcentral is "partial 16S ribosomal RNA". It matches the Rfam family "Bacterial small subunit ribosomal RNA", at positions 28 to 507 of the family's 1533-position model. The record is from RNAcentral.
GAUGAACGCUGGCGGCGUGCCUAAUACAUGCAAGUCGAGCGAACGGACGAGAAGCUUGCUUCUCUGAUGUUAGCGGCGGACGGGUGAGUAACACGUGGAUAACCUACCUAUAAGACUGGGAUAACUUCGGGAAACCGUAGCUAAUACCGGAUAAUAUUUUGAACCGCAUGGUUCAAAAGUGAAAGACGGUCUUGCUGUCACUUAUGGAUGGAUCCGCGCUGCAUUAGCUAGUUGGUAAGGUAACGGCUUACCAAGGCAACGAUGCAUAGCCGACCUGAGAGGGUGAUCGGCUACACUGGAACUGAGACACGGUCCAGACUCCUACGGGAGGCAGCAGUAGGGAAUCUUCCGCAAUGGGCGAAAGCCUGACGGAGCAACGCCGCGUGAGUGAUGAAGGUCUUCGGAUCGUAAAACUCUGUUAUUAGGGAAGAACAUAUGUGUAAGUAACUGUGCACAUCUUGACGGUACCUAAUCAGAAAGCCACGGCUAACUACGUG